AGAGUGAACGCUGGCGGUAGGCCUAACACAUGCAAGUCGAACGGCAGCACAGUAGGAGCUUGCUCUUACGGGUGGCGAGUGGCGGACGGGUGAGGAAUACAUCGGAAUCUACCUUUUGGUGGGGGAUAACGUAGGGAAACUUACGCUAAUACCGCAUACGCCCUUCGGGGGAAAGCCGGGGACCAGCAAUGGCCUGGCGCUGAUAGAUGAGCCGAUGUCGGAUUAGCUAGUUGGUGAGGUAAUGGCUCACCAAGGCGACGAUCCGUAGCUGGUCUGAGAGGAUGAUCAGCCACACUGGAACUGAGACACGGUCCAGACUCCUACGGGAGCAGCAGUGGGGAAUAGUUGGACAAGUGGGCGCGAAGCCUGAUCCAGCCAUACCGCGUGGUGAAGAAGGCUACGGUUGUAAAGUCCGUUUGUGGAAAGUAAAGC
Molecule: ribosomal RNA, 432 nt
Filed under: uncultured soil bacterium
Lineage: Bacteria
Description: bacterial SSU rRNA
Rfam family: Bacterial small subunit ribosomal RNA
Source: RNAcentral